This 148-nucleotide non-coding RNA is filed under the name Pan troglodytes (chimpanzee). The record is from Rfam by way of RNAcentral. Lineage: Eukaryota; Metazoa; Chordata; Mammalia; Primates; Hominidae.
GCCAGGUGUGGUGGCGCAUGCCUGUAAUCCCAGCUACUUGGGAGGCUGAGGUGGGAGAAUCACUUGAACCUGGGAGGUGGAGGUUGCAGUGAGCCAAGAUCGUGCCACUGCACUUCAGCCUGGGAGACAGAGUGAGACUCCGCCUCAA